AUACUUACCUGGACGGGGUCUAUGGGCGAUCAGUAAGACCCAUGGCCUAGGUUGGUGACCUCCAUUGCACUUUGGAGGGAUGCCCGCCUAAGGUUGGCCCAAGUGGCUGAGCCUACGUCAUAAUUUUUUCUUGGUUUUGGUUAAUUGGUGUUUGAAAU
Molecule: small nuclear RNA, 158 nt
Organism: Lycium barbarum (goji berry)
Lineage: Eukaryota; Viridiplantae; Streptophyta; Magnoliopsida; Solanales; Solanaceae
Product: U1 spliceosomal RNA
Exons: 1
Source: RefSeq, a predicted model, not a curated record